CCUGCUAACAGGCAGACACUGAGAGGUCAACGCAGGCAAAGGAAGGGGUCCUGGCUUCACCUCUGAGGCUAAAACCCUCUGGCGGGCGUGGUCACAACCAGUACAGGAAAUGGAAAGUACCUGGAUGGAGAAUCCACCAGGCAGCUGUGGGGACGAGAGCGGAGCAACCCUACUGCUGCCGGCUAGUCUGUCUAAACCAGAGCUGGAGAAAGGGCUUGGCUGACAGUCAGGCCCACAGUGCCAAGGAGAGCCCAGGUGGAUGGAACCAAGACAAAGGUACAGGAGCACAUGAGACCUGGACUCAAGCAGCGUGGGCCUGUAGGACAGCCAGCGACUGGCAGACAGGAACUUAUUGUAGAGGAGCACUUAAUUGAGACAUACUCUGUGGGAUCCUUGGAAAAUGUUUUUGGCACGUGAG
This 418-nucleotide long non-coding RNA is filed under the name Ictidomys tridecemlineatus (thirteen-lined ground squirrel). Its description in RNAcentral is "lncRNA (ENSSTOG00000031861.1)". The record is from RNAcentral. Lineage: Eukaryota; Metazoa; Chordata; Mammalia; Rodentia; Sciuridae.